UUAAGAUUCCUGCACCCCUUGUUAUCAGAACUGCGGAGACACGGGAAGGGAAGCAGAGCCGGGAAUGGAAAGCCCGGUGCAAGCGAAGUAGUCGCAGGGUUGGAAAACCCGCCCUGCAUGAGACGAAGGCGUGAUGCGGAGCGAAAUGAAGUAGUGAAGCUGCAGCCCCUUCCUGUCGAGAAAAGCCGCUAUCGUGUAGCAAGGGCCCGUACCGUAAACCGACACAGGUGGAUGAGGAGAGGAUCCUAAGGCCGGCGGGAGAAGUGUUGUUAAGGAACUCGGCAAAAUGACUCCGUAACUUCGGGAGAAGGAGUGCUGCGCAAGCAGCCGCAGAGAAAUGGCCCAAGCAACUGUUUAGCAAAAACACAGGUCUAUGCGAAACCGAAAGGUGAGGUAUAUGGGCUGACGCCUGCCCGGUGCUGGAAGGUUAAGGGGAGAGCUUAGCGCGAGCGAAGGUUUGAACUUAAGCCUCAGUAAACGGCGGCCGUAACAAUAACGGUCCUAAGGUAGCGAAAUUCCUUGUCGGGUAAGUUCCGACCCGCACGAAAGGCGUAAUGAUUUGGGCACUGUCUCAACAACACACCCGGUGAAAUUGAAAUACCAGUGAAGAUGCUGGUUACCCGCGCCAGGACGGAAAGACCCCAUGGAGCUUUACUCCAGCCUGAUACUGGGAUUCGGUAUUGCAUGUACAGGAUAGGUGGGAGGCUAAGAACUCAUGGCGCCAGCCGUGAGGGAGCCGGUGUUGGGAUACCACCCCUGCAGUACUGGGUUUCUAACCUGCGCCCGUGACCCGGGCGGGGGACAAUGUCAGGCGGGGAGUUUGACUGGGGCGGUCGCCUCCGAAAGGGUAUCGGAGGCGCUCAAAGGUCUCCUCAGGAUGGUUGGAAACCAUCCAGAGAGUGCAAAGGCAGAAGGAGGCUUGACUGCGACACCGACGGGUGGAGCAGGUACGAAAGUAGGACUUAGUGAUCCGGUGGCAUAAAGUGGGAUUGCCAUCGCUCAACGGAUAAAAGCUACCCUGGGAUAACAGGCUUAUCACUCCCAAGAGUUCACAUCGACGGAGUGGUUUGGCACCUCGAUGUCGGCUCAUCGCAUCCUGGAGCUGGAGCAGGUUCCAAGGGUUGGGCUGUUCGCCCAUUAAAGCGGUACGCGAGCUGGGUUCAGAACGUCGUGAGACAGUUCGGUCCCUAUCCGGCGCGGGCGCAGGAUAUCUGAGAGGAGCUGUCCUUAGUACGAGAGGACCGGGAUGGACCGUCCGCUGGUGGACCGGUUGUCAUGCCAAUGGCACGGCCGGGUAGCCAAGACGGGAAGGGAUAAACGCUGAAGGCAUCUAAGCGUGAAGCCCCCCUCAAGAUGAGAUAUCCAUACUCGAAAGAGUGAGAGACCCCUUAGAGACGAUGAGGUAGAUAGGGCAGAGAUGGAAGUGCAGCGAUGCAUGGAGUUGACUGUUACUAAUCGGUCGAAAGCC
Molecule: ribosomal RNA, 1468 nt
Filed under: metagenome
Description: bacterial LSU rRNA
Rfam family: Bacterial large subunit ribosomal RNA
Source: RNAcentral